RNAcentral lists this ribosomal RNA (301 nucleotides) under uncultured bacterium. Its description in RNAcentral is "partial 16S ribosomal RNA". It matches the Rfam family "Bacterial small subunit ribosomal RNA", at positions 509 to 807 of the family's 1533-position model. The record is from RNAcentral.
CAGUAGCCGCGGUAAAACGUAGGGUGCAAGCGUUAAUCGGAAUUACUGGGCGUAAAGCGUGCGCAGGCGGUGAUGUAAGACAGUUGUGAAAUCCCCGGGCUCAACCUGGGAACUGCAUCUGUGACUGCAUCGCUGGAGUGCGGCAGAGGGGGAUGGAAUCCCGCGUGUAGCAGUGAAAUGCGUAGAUAUGCGGAGGAACACCGAUGGCGAAGGCAAUCCCCUGGGCCUGCACUGACGCUCAUGCACGAAAGCGUGGGGAGCAAACAGGAUUAGAUACCCCUGUAGUCCCUGUCUCUUAUAC